UACUAAAGGUCUUUUCAAAGAUACAUCUUCUCAAAUAAACUAUUAAAUGCAUUUUCGCUAUUUUUAGUUUUCAUCAUUCAUCAUAAAGCAAGUUGCCACCAAACGUACUUAAAAAAACAAAAAUGUCACAUCAAAAAACUCAAUUUUUUCUCCUAAAAUUAGUAUAAAAAAUAACAUUGACAAAAUAAUACCAGGCACUUUAAUUGUCAGUGACCCCAUCCAUUCAAGUGUAUCUAACGGCUGAAUGCAACUAUAGCACAGUACCGCAAUUGCACCGUAACCGAACCCCAUUAUGGUGAUGAGAUCCUAUCUCAAAGCUCCACUUAUAUUAAGAUAGAACUAUUUGAAUCUAUUAAUUUCCUUUCAAGCCCUUUUUUUGAUUAAAAUAAUUAUCAAAUUACAACUUCUUAUUUUUUAUUCACUAGUUCUCAAAAAUUAUAAAAUUACCCUUAUCAAUUAUUUUCUUUCUCCAUUGUAACAAUGGUUAAAACAUAAACUGGCUUCUCUUUCUAUCAAUUUUUCUUUAUCUACUCUUUCUUGCUGAAUUAACUUUAUCUUUCUCCUAAUCUCUAUUAUUACAUUAUCAAUUUUUACCUAUUGUUAUCAUUUAGAGUUUGUGCUUAUCUGAGAUUUGACCAAAAAAAAUUCUAAUAGAUUCAGAAUGAUAUAAGAACUUUUAUUUUUGAGUUUAUAUGAUAAGUAUUGAUCAUUUCAUUUUGUUUUAUUACAAUAAGGUUGAAUUUGUUAAUAUUUGAAUAAUUUCAUUUAUUAAAUGCAAAUAUGCAAUACAAUGAGGGUUAAAUGAAUUUCAACGAGUCCACACAAUAUUGGGAUUCAUUAUUAGAGACUAGACUAUUGAUUCCCAAUGGGACGUUGGGAGUAUAACCCAUUCUCGAGAUUGACUAAAUUACCACUACUACUUUUUCAAUUUUUUCAAAACACCCUUUGUACAAUACAAAAAUAUAAAUUAAAAAAAUUGCAAAUCCCUAACUCUAGCCGAUGAACCCAGCACCUUUCUAUUACCUCAAACGGUUAAAUUGAUCUAGGAAUAGGGAUGGUAAAAAUCCCCACGGGGACGGGUACCUUCGGGGAUUUUCCCCAUUCGGAGAGGGUAUGAGGAUAAUUUUAUACCCAAUUUCUUAUUUGGGGAGGGGACGGGGAUGAGGUGGAAUCUCCAUCCCCUACCCAUUUUCCCAUUUUAAUUUUUAAUUUUAUUUU
RNAcentral lists this long non-coding RNA (1218 nucleotides) under Citrus x clementina. Its description in RNAcentral is "Citrus clementina (C. clementina) long non-coding RNA (CCLE_LNC005352)". Lineage: Eukaryota; Viridiplantae; Streptophyta; Magnoliopsida; Sapindales; Rutaceae. The record is from RNAcentral.